RNAcentral lists this ribosomal RNA (951 nucleotides) under Triticum aestivum (bread wheat). Its description in RNAcentral is "partial small subunit ribosomal RNA". The record is from RNAcentral. Lineage: Eukaryota; Viridiplantae; Streptophyta; Magnoliopsida; Poales; Poaceae.
AUGUGCGGCGGCGCCAUCCUAGCGAAGCUGAUCCCGCCGACGCCGCCGUCGGCGGGCCGUGCCCCGAAGCAGGUGGCCGCGGGCGGGGUCUCGCCCAAGAAGGGCGGCAUGAACAAGACGCACCACAGCAGCACCCCCGAUGUCGACGACUUCGAGGCCGCCUUCGAGGACUUCGAUGACGACUUCCACCUGCAGGCGGAGGAGGACGGCGACGACCAUGUCGUUUUUGCAUCCAAACCUGCCUUCUCCCCGGCCUACGAUGAUGGCCGCGCGGCGCAGGCGGCGAGCAGGAAGAAGAGCGUCCGCCGCCUCCACGGCAUCCGUCAGCGGCCGUGGGGCAAGUGGGCGGCGGAGAUCCGCGACCCGCACAAGGGCACCCGCGUCUGGCUCGGCACGUUCGACACGGCCGAUGAUGCCGCCCGGGCCUACGACGUCGCCGCCCACCGCCUCCGUGGCAGCAAGGCCAAAGUCAACUUCCCCAACGGGACCAGGGCUGGGGCGCGCCUGCAACGUGCCAGCCGGAGAACCGCUUCGAAACGGCAGUGCCCCCCUGCGCGGACGACGGCGUACUCUGCUGCACACGCACAGAAGGAGCGGGACGCUAUGGUGGCCAAGCCUGAGCUGAUGGAGUCUUUCGACAUGGACGCCUUCGUCGACCUGACCACUGCUUUCACCACGCUACCGCCUGUCAUGGCAAGCUCCUUCGCCGACACUGGCGCGAAGAAGCCGAUGGUCGAUGAGGAUUCGUCGGAUGGGAGCGGCGGCGAUGCCAUGCUGGGGUUCGAUCCGUUCAUGCUGUUCCAGCUCCCCUGCUCGGACACGUACGAAUCCAUCGACAGCCUCUUCGCCGGCGACGCCGUCAUCCAGGAUGCCCUCGGCGUGGACAGUGGCAUGGAGGGCGUCAGCCUCUGGAGCUUCGAGGAGUUCCCCAUGGACAGCGCCAUUUUUUGA